Molecule: long non-coding RNA, 369 nt
Organism: Humulus lupulus (European hop)
Lineage: Eukaryota; Viridiplantae; Streptophyta; Magnoliopsida; Rosales; Cannabaceae
Exons: 3
Source: RefSeq, a predicted model, not a curated record
UUUUUAAGAUAUUUCUUGGGGUUUCCAAGUGGUUUGAGGUUUAGAAAAGCUUGAAGAGAUUGUUUUCGCCGAAAAGUUGCUCGGAUAAGCACAUCAAUACCUAAGACAUCACUUGUUACACGGUGAAAUAUAUUGUGGACAAAAGGUAGAGAAAGAAAUAUGUGAAUGAUAUGAGGAGAACUGAAGCAUGGUCCUGACCCUGAUUUGUACAUAUGAACACAUCGACCUUUUUGUGGGUUAUUUCAGUUAUCAGUGAGAUGUUUGUAAUAAAGUGUGAAGUUAUGUUUUGAAAAUAAAUUAGGUUAUUUAAUACUUAUGUAUAAUAUGUUUGAGACACACUUUAUGUUUAAUGUAAAUAAUGUGAAAUAA